UACGGAGGGGCUAGCGUUAUCCGGAAUUACUGGGCGUAAAGGGCAGGCAGGCGGAUCCAUAAGUUUAUCGUUUAAGGCGUCGGCUUAACCGGCGUAGGGCGGUAGAUACUGUGGAUCUGGAAUGCGGUUGGGGAAGACAGAAUUCCUGGUGUAGCGGUGGAAUGCGCAGAGAUCAGGAGGAAUACCGAAGGCGAAGGCAGUCUUCCAAGCCGUUAUUGACGCUCAACUGCGAAGGUGUGGGUAUCAAACAGGAUUAGAUACCCCUGUAGUCCCUGA
This 276-nucleotide ribosomal RNA is filed under the name uncultured prokaryote. RNAcentral describes it as "partial 16S ribosomal RNA". It matches the Rfam family "Bacterial small subunit ribosomal RNA", at positions 524 to 800 of the family's 1533-position model. The record is from RNAcentral.